UUACCCACUCCCGGCACGGGGAGGUAGUGACGAAAAAUAACGAUACGGGACUCAUCCGAGGCCCCGUAAUCGGAAUGAGUACACUCUAAACCCUUUAACGAGGAUCAAUUGGAGGGCAAGUCUGGUGCCAGCAGCCGCGGUAAUUCCAGCUCCAAUAGCGUAUAUUAAAGUUGUUGCGGUUAAAAAGCUCGUAGUCGAAUUUGUGUCUCGUGCCGCUGGUUCAUCGUCCGCGGUGUUAACUGGCGAGUCGCGAGACGUCCUGCCGGUGGGCUUAGCCCGCGAGGGCGGCCCAACUCAAUCCUGCCGCGGUGCUCUUCAUUGAGUGUCGAGGUGGGCCGGCACGUUUACUUUGAACAAAUUAGAGUGCUUAAAGCAGGCUAAAACUUCGCCUGAAUACUGUGUGCAUGGAAUAAUGGAAUAGGACCUCGGUUCUAUUUUGUUGGUUUUCGGAACUCCGAGGUAAUGAUUAAUAGGAACGGAUGGGGGCAUUCGUAUUGCGACGUUAGAGGUGAAAUUCUUGGAUCGUCGCAAGACGGACAGAAGCGAAAGCAUUUGCCAAAAACGCUUUCAUUGAUCAAGAACGAAAGUUAGAGGUUCGAAGGCGAUCAGAUACCGCCCUAGUUCUAACUAUAAACGAUGCCAGCUAGCGAUCCGUCGACGUUCCUCCGAUGACUCGACGGGCAGCUUCCGGGAAACCAAAGCUUUUGGGUUCCGGGGGAAGUAUGGUUGCAAAGCUGAAACUUAAAGGAAUUGACGGAAGGGCACCACCAGGAGUGGAGCCUGCGGCUUAAUUUGACUCAACACGGGAAACCUCACCAGGCCCGGACACCGGAAGGAUUGACAGAUUGAGAGCUCUUUCUUGAUUCGGUGGGUGGUGGUGCAUGGCCGUUCUUAGUUGGUGGAGCGAUUUGUCUGGUUAAUUCCGAUAACGAACGAGACUCUAGCCUGCUAACUAGGCGUAUUUUGACAUUCUAAAGGCCCGCCGGCUUGGGG
Molecule: ribosomal RNA, 993 nt
Filed under: Strophosoma melanogrammum
Lineage: Eukaryota; Metazoa; Arthropoda; Insecta; Coleoptera; Curculionidae
Description: SSU rRNA
Rfam family: Eukaryotic small subunit ribosomal RNA
Source: RNAcentral